GCACAGAGCGAUUUAAAGGAAACAAGUUCUCUCUGUCUUCGACAUUCAACCAUGGCAGACGACGACUACAAUGAUGUGGAUAUGGGGUUAGUUCCGUCUCUUCUUUCUCUUUCUGUUGCACACGUAGACACACGCUCAAUACCGCAAACGACUAGGGUUUCUGUUUUUUUUUUCCUUAAAUUUUUAUGUUAAUCUAAUAUUACAUGCUCUGAUUGGUUGCCGAGAAAAUUAAUUUUAUUGAAUGAAACAAUACGAUAGUUAAGUUUUUGGUUCUCAAGAGGCUGAUCAGGCUAAGACAUCAUUUAUUUAAUUUCAAGCAUAUGGUUUAUUUCGAAAUCAAAAUAAAAAACUUAGAAUUGGAAAAAUCCUUAUAACGAAUCCUAGUUUUCGGAGCUCAAAUGUUAGGUUUUCGGGUUU
This 417-nucleotide unclassified non-coding RNA is filed under the name Hevea brasiliensis (rubber tree). The record is from RNAcentral. Lineage: Eukaryota; Viridiplantae; Streptophyta; Magnoliopsida; Malpighiales; Euphorbiaceae.